Molecule: RNA transcript, 2596 nt
Organism: Cydia amplana
Lineage: Eukaryota; Metazoa; Arthropoda; Insecta; Lepidoptera; Tortricidae
Exons: 6
Source: RefSeq, a predicted model, not a curated record
UGUUGUCUUGUCUUUGGUAUGAGCAAUGAACAAGUAGGGAAAUUAAUAAAAUUAAAGUAAUGAAAUGAAACGAGCACAGACUGAUAACUGAAUUUGGCAAUGUGUAAGAAACGGGGAGGAAGGCAUCUUCUUUCAUUUUGUGUUGUUUAAUUUCCUAUAAGUACAGUUUGAUGUAUUUUAUUUAAUGUAUAACACGGCCGAUAUAUGUCCGCGAGAGGUGUAAGAGUAAUGUUUGGGUGAUGGAGUCACCGCCUUCGUUUUCAACACAUUCCGAGGUGCCUCCUUUAAGUGAAGAUAGUGGUCUACUCAUCACCAGCGGAUCCUUCUCGAGCGAUUCCGCUAGCGGCUGGCAUCACGUUACAUCCGAGUUACAAGAAAGUGACUUUGAUGAGAAAUCUCUGUCACUAUGCGAGUCGGCGGAAACAUCGGAGCGAAUGUGUGGCGAUUUUUUUAACACUGUCAAAAAAGGCCCUGGAAAAGUCUUACUAACGACUAUUGAUCCACCUCCUGAAUUUCAGGAUAACCCAGUGCCUCUUAAUAUAGUGGAAGUCGCAACUUUAUUUGUACCUCCAACAGUUGUGUACAAUAAUGACUCUGUAAAAUCAAAAUCAUCGGUUCUUGAAAUUCCUAUGACAACGAGACAUUUGUCUCCAUUAUACGCGAAGAAAUUGAAACCGGAAUCUUUGUACGAGCGGCGGCAGUGCCUGAACCACCGGUUCGCGAGUCCGCGGCUGCUGCACCUGAGCCCGUGCCGCGGCACGCGCCCCUCCUCGCGGAACUCGCUCACCUCCCGCCUCUCCAGCAGCCACAACUCCCUCGUCACCCAGUUCCAGGACGACUCCAGCUUCAUCACCCAAGCCAUCUCGCACGACACGCUCUCCGCCAACACCUCCGACAUCACUGACAUGUACAAUGUGCCCUUCGACAGCGACAUAUACGCUGUCCCCGUCGACAUGGUCCGCCCCGGUCAAAGCAACAUGAGAAAAGGCAAAAAACCACCCAGGACCAACAAGAAACGCGGGAAAACCGCAUCUCAAAAUUUGACAACGAAUCACGUGCAGACCGACAGAAAUCACAAGCCAAAGGAAACGGCGAACCGACACAAAGAUUCCAAAAAUAAAAGGCACAGCUUGCCAAGUUCGUCUUGUAGGAAGAACGUAUCUGACUCAGAGGCGGACUCGCUCCACCUGACGUUGCGCGAAAUGCGUAAAUAUUUGCACACUCUGUACUCUAGCUCGAGCGACUCCGAGUGCCGUAACACGUUGAACAAGAAGAAUAACAUAACGAACGUGGAGAUACACGUGCGGCCAUCGAAAGACGCCAAGACGAAUAAGGACAACGAGAUAUGCAGUGCGUUAGAAACGAAUAACAAUCAUAAAAAGCCUCAUAAAAACUCUUUUGGUAUGAAUAUUAAGAACAAGAAGCAUAAAGAGGUUCCUAAGGACGAUACGGCCGAUAAGAGUGUUAAGACGCCGCGUCAGAGUCAAAAGAAGAUGUCGCCGGUGCGGAUUUUGUCGUUGAACUUGAAGCAGAGUUUUUGUAAUCUGUUUCGGUGGCGGCGGGCGGGGGGGUUGGAGCGGGAGCGGGGGGAGGAGGUGGUGGUCGAGCCGCCGGCGGCGGUGCGGCGCGCGCUGCCGCCGCUGCCGUCCGCGCCGCACUCCUCACGCCGAGAGGGAGACGACGCCGUCAUGGACUUCGCUACCUCCAUACAGAGGGUCAAAGACUAUGGCUGGUAUUGGGGUCCUAUAUCGGUUGAGGCGGCCGAGAAGAUCCUCUCGAACGAACCGGACGGCUCGUUCAUAGUGCGCGACAGUAGCGACGACCAUUACAUAUUCACAUUAACUUUUAAGCUAAAUGGAAUGAGACAUGUAAGGAUUGAACAUGAUCAGGGUAAUUUCUGUUUCGGCGGAUGCACGAUGUUCAAAGCGCAGACAAUAGUGGAGUUCAUAGAGAAUGCGGUGGAGACGUCGCGCAGCGGACGCUACCUGUUCUUCCUUAACCUGCGGCCGGUGCUCGGACCCGUGCGCGUGCAGCUGCUCUACCCCGUCUCGCGGUUCAAGCGCGUGCAGAGCCUGCAGCACAUGUGCAGGUGUGUGUCUACGAUAUACAGCCCAGACAAUAGUGGAGUUCAUAGAGAACGCGGUGGAGACGUCGCGCAGCGGACGCUACCUGUUCUUCCUGAACCUGCGGCCGGUGCUCGGGCCCGUGCGCGUGCAGCUGCUCUACCCCGUCUCGCGGUUCAAGCGCGUGCAGAGCUUGCAGCACAUGCGCAGGUGUGUGUCUACGAUAUACAGCCCAGACAAUAGUGGAGUUCAUAGAGAACGCGGUGGAGACGUCGCGCAGCGGACGCUACCUGUUCUUCCUGAACCUGCGGCCGGUGCUCGGGCCCGUGCGCGUGCAGCUGCUCUACCCCGUCUCGCGGUUCAAGCGCGUGCAGAGCCUGCAGCACAUGUGCAGGUUUGUGAUAUUAAAAUACGUAAGACGGGACCUGAUAAGCAGCCUUCCGCUGCCGAGACGUCUCCUGGACUACCUGAACGCCACGCACUACUACUCAGAACUCCUUGCCGAAAUAUAGGACCUGUUUGUUGGUUGGUUG